CCUGGCCUUGACAUACUAAGAACUUCCAGAGAUGGAUUGGUGCCUUCGGGAACUUAGAUACAGGUGCUGCAUGGCUGUCGUCAGCUCGUGUCGUGAGAUGUUGGGUUAAGUCCCGCAACGAGCGCAACCCUUUUCCUUAUUUGCCAGCGGGUUAAGCCGGGAACUUUAAGGAUACUGCCAGUGACAAACUGGAGGAAGGCGGGGACGACGUCAAGUCAUCAUGGCCCUUACGGCCAGGGCUACACACGUGCUACAAUGGUCGGUACAAAGGGUUGCUACCUCGCGAGAGGAUGCUAAUCUCAAAAAGCCGAUCGUAGUCCGGAUCGCAGUCUGCAACUCGACUGCGUGAAGUCGGAAUCGCUAGUAAUCGCGGAUCAGAAUGCCGCGGUGAAUACGUUCCCGGGCCUUGUACACACCGCCCGUCACACCAUGGGAGUUUGUUGCACCAGAAGUAGGUAGUCUAACCGCAAGGAGGACGCUUACCACGGUGUGGCCGAUGACUGGGGUGAAGUCGUAACAAGGUAAGCGUAGAUGA
RNAcentral lists this ribosomal RNA (535 nucleotides) under uncultured bacterium. Its description in RNAcentral is "bacterial SSU rRNA". It matches the Rfam family "Bacterial small subunit ribosomal RNA", at positions 974 to 1509 of the family's 1533-position model. The record is from RNAcentral.